Coturnix japonica (Japanese quail) is the source of this 1571-nucleotide non-coding RNA. NCBI's taxonomy places the organism in Eukaryota, Metazoa, Chordata, Aves, Galliformes, Phasianidae. The record is from RefSeq and is a predicted model, not a curated record.
UGGGGGGGUGUCAGUGGGGUUUAACAGCAAGGAGUGAUGGUGGAGUUGAUGGUGCUGGGGAGACGUUGUUGGGGUGACACUGGGGUUGUAUGGUGAUAUUAAGCUGUGACAAUGGGGGCUGAUGACAUUGGGGUGACACUGGGGUUGUAUGGUGACAUUAAGCUGUGACAAUAGGGACUGAUGACAUUGGGGUGACACUGGGGGUGUAAAUGGGGUUGUAUGGUGACAUUAAGCUGUGACAAUGGGGGCUGAUGAUGUUGGGGUGACACUGGGGGUGUCAAUGGGGUUGUAUGGUGAUAUUAAGCAGUGACAAUGGGGGCUGAUGAUGUUGGGGUGACACUGGGGUUGUAUGGUGAUAUUAAGCUGCGACAAUGGGGGCUGGUGAUGUUGGGGUGACAAUGGGGGUGACAAUGGGGUUGUAUGGUGAUAUUAAGCAGUGACAAUGGGGGCUGGUGAUGUUGGGGUGACACUGGGGUUGUAUGGUGAUAUUAAGCUGCGACAGUGGGGGCUGAUGACUUUGGGGUGACACUGGGGGUGUCAAUGGGGUUGUGGCGACAUUAAGCUGUGACAAUGGGGGCUGGUGAUGUUGGGGUGACAAUGGGGUUGUAUGGUGACAUUAAGCUGCGACAAUGGGGGCUGAUGACUUUGGGGUGACACUGGGGGUGACACUGGGGUUGUAUGGUGACAUUAAGCUGUGACAAUGGGGGCUGAUGACAUUGGGGUGACACUGGGGGUGUAAAUGGGGUUGUAUGGUGACAUUAAGCUGUGACAAUGGGGGCUGAUGACAUUGGGGUGACACUGGGGUGAUGCUGGGUAUCUCUGGGGGGUGACAUCAGGGAGUGACAAUAGAUAGUGAUAUUGUUGUUUGCUGGUGUUGUUGGGGUGAUGCUGUGCCAGUGGCUGCCGUCCCGCUGUGUCUCCAUCCCUAUUUCAGGUGUUGCUGUGGAUGCACCCCCCGACUCUGCCAUCUCGAACCCCAUAGAGCCGCACAAGACCCCAUAGAGCCUCAUGGUGCCCCAUACGAUGACUUCAGCCCUAUAACUCGGGCUCUGCAAACCCCUUUUGGGGCACAACAGCUCCAGACGUGGUGCCGGAACCGGGCCGGCAUGCUCACCAGGAAGCGCGACCCGUCGGACGCCUCCACCUCGUGCAGGUUGUUCCCGGGGCUGCUCAGAACCUGCAGCGGGACGGCGGCAGCUUCUGCGCCCGGAUUGGCUGCUCGUGCCGCGCGCUGCCCGGAGGGGGCGGAGCAACGCUUUGAUUGGCUAUGCGUGCCACGCGCUCUGCGUGAGGGGCGGGGCGUCUCUCUGAUUGGCUGUACGUGCCGUGCGUGCCGUGCGUGAGGCCCUGCUCGGCAAGAUGGCGGCGGAGCGGACGGAGGCGGCGGGUUCGGGCCCGGGGGACUACGCGAGUUGGGGCCCCGCCGAGCUGCGGCACGGGCUGGGCAGCAUCGGGGCGGCAGCGCACGGGAGCCGGGAGGAGCUGCUGGAACGGCUGCAGAGCUACACCGUGCAGGUCGGGACAAGGAACGGGACUGCGGGGACUGCGGGGACAGCGGGGAACAUUGGGGC